Long non-coding RNA from Numida meleagris (helmeted guineafowl), 809 nucleotides. RefSeq lists it as uncharacterized. The transcript has 3 exons. The record is from RefSeq and is a predicted model, not a curated record. Lineage: Eukaryota; Metazoa; Chordata; Aves; Galliformes; Numididae.
CUAAGAGCUCCUAGUGGGUUAAGGUAUGAGUUAGUAAGGCUAACUUAAGCAAAUAGGUAUGUAGCAGCACAUGAGAACACACGUUCCUGCAGGACAACAUCAAGAAAUGAAGAUAUUUGCCACCAGCUGAGAAUGGAAAUGAAGUAAAGGAAAGAGAACAAGAAACUAGAUGAGCACUGUUACUGAACAUGGGGACACCUCACAGAGUGCCAGCUGGAGCUGCCUACAUGGAUGCUCCAUGGGCCAUGGGAGAGCAGCUAAUGUGGAGUAGAGUUGUAUUGGGAUCAAGGUCCAGGAUGGGGCAAGUAAGGAAGAGGCUAUCUUAUUCGCAGUACUCAUCGGAAAGCACAGCUUUCAACAGCAUGCAAUUCCCCAGAGACAAAGCCUGAUUUUUAGGAGGAAAAGUAAAAUGUUUUUAGGAGGAGUGUGUAGAAAAGGAAUGUCUUUGUUAUCCACAGUGCCUUUAUUCCUACUGACCUUUUCCACUGGGAGAGAGACACCAGAAAACAGGACUAGUAUUGUGAAAGGCUGAAAUUGUAUCACUGAUCACCAGUCUGCAAUAAGGUGCUGAGUAUGUUUCUAAACUACCUCUGCAACUUUUCACUUUAUAACGAGAACUAACUCUACUAGGGAAGUUGGCAGAUUCCACGCAGCUAACAAAUAAGACAGGAGCAAGCUCAAUAUGCCAUUAGGAAGGUUUCCCCCCUUCUCCUUCCCUGACUUCUAGAAUUACAACCUCCUUUUUUUUUUUUUUUUUAACUGUCUUCUGUCUGUGAAACGUGUUCUCAAUGCAAUCAAAAUGUAUGUCU